CUUAAAUGAAUUGACGGGGAGCACCACAACGGGUGGAGCCUGCGGUUAAUUGGACUCAACGCCGGGGCAGCUCACCGGAUAAGACAGCUGGAUGAUAGCCGGGCUGAAGACUCUGCUUGACUAGCUGAGAGGAGGUGCAUGGCCGUCGUCAGUUCGUACUGUGAAGCAUCCUGUUAAGUCAGGCAACGAGCGAGACCCACGCCAACAGUUGCCAGCAUGUCCUCCGGGAUGAUGGGGACACUGUUGGGACCGCCUCUGCUAAAGAGGAGGAAGGAAUGGGCAACGGUAGGUCAGUAUGCCCCGAAUAUCCCGGGCUACACGCGAGCUACAAUGGUUGGUACAAUGGGUAUCUACCCCGAAAGGGGACGGGAAUCUCCUAAAACCAAUCUUAGUUCGGAUUGAGGGCUGCAACUCGCCCUCAUGAAGCUGGAAUCCGUAGUAAUCGCGUUUCAACAGAACGCGGUGAAUACGUCCCUGCUCCUU
RNAcentral lists this ribosomal RNA (483 nucleotides) under uncultured Methanolinea sp. RNAcentral's name for it is "bacterial SSU rRNA". It matches the Rfam family "Archaeal small subunit ribosomal RNA", at positions 855 to 1338 of the family's 1478-position model. The record is from RNAcentral. Lineage: Archaea; Methanobacteriati; Methanobacteriota; Methanomicrobia; Methanomicrobiales; Methanoregulaceae.